RNAcentral lists this transfer RNA (66 nucleotides) under Macaca arctoides (stump-tailed macaque). RNAcentral describes it as "tRNA-Tyr". It matches the Rfam family "tRNA". From Rfam's summary of the family: Transfer RNA (tRNA) molecules are approximately 80 nucleotides in length. Their secondary structure includes four short double-helical elements and three loops (D, anti-codon, and T loops). Lineage: Eukaryota; Metazoa; Chordata; Mammalia; Primates; Cercopithecidae. The record is from RNAcentral.
GGUAAAAUGGCUGAGUAAGUAUUAGGCUGUAAACCUAAAGAUGGAGGUCUAACCCUUCUUUUACCA